ACAAACUUGUUUCGUAUGACAAGCAAUGCUUGCCACACUCAUCAGCAUGAAUUCAAGAUGAUGAGUGUGGUAAUGAGUGUGGCAAGCAUUGCUUGUCAUACGAAACAAGUUUGUAG
Non-coding RNA from Paramuricea clavata, 116 nucleotides. NCBI's taxonomy places the organism in Eukaryota, Metazoa, Cnidaria, Anthozoa, Malacalcyonacea, Plexauridae. The record is from the annotation of a GenBank genome assembly.